Vanessa tameamea is the source of this 184-nucleotide small nuclear RNA. RefSeq annotates it as U2 spliceosomal RNA. The transcript has a single exon. NCBI's taxonomy places the organism in Eukaryota, Metazoa, Arthropoda, Insecta, Lepidoptera, Nymphalidae. The record is from RefSeq and is a predicted model, not a curated record.
AUCGCUUCUCGGCCUUUUGGCUAAGAUCAAAGUGUAGUAUCUGUUCUUUUCAGCUUAAUAUCUGAAAGUUCCCGCACUGCGGGUAGUGCUGGGUCAUUCCUGAUUUUACGUAAAACGAAACGAACCGGUUUUUUACAUUUUCAAAACAGUUCUUUGAAACGGUUAUAAAAAAAACCGAUUUGUU